UGAUUUGAAAGGCGCUUUCGGGUGUCGCUGAUGGAUGGACCCGCGGUGCAUUAGCUAGUUGGUGAGGUAACGGCUCACCAAGGCCACGAUGCAUAGCCGACCUGAGAGGGUGAUCGGCCACAUUGGGACUGAGACACGGCCCAAACUCCUACGGGAGGCAGCAGUAGGGAAUCUUCGGCAAUGGACGAAAGUCUGACCGAGCAACGCCGCGUGAGUGAAGAAGGUUUUCGGAUCGUAAAACUCUGUUGUUAGAGAAGAACAAGGAUGAGAGUAACUGUUCAUCCCUUGACGGUAUCUAACCAGAAAGCCACGGCUAACUACGUGCCAGCAGCCGCGGUAAUACGUAGGUGGCAAGCGUUGUCCGGAUUUAUUGGGCGUAAAGCGAGCGCAGGCGGUUUCUUAAGUCUGAUGUGAAAGCCCCCGGCUCAACCGGGGAGGGUCAUUGGAAACUGGGAGACUUGAGUGCAGAAGAGGAGAGUGGAAUUCCAUGUGUAGCGGUGAAAUGCGUAGAUAUAUGGAGGAACACCAGUGGCGAAGGCGGCUCUCUGGUCUGUAACUGACGCUGAGGCUCGAAAGCGUGGGGAGCAAACAGGAUUAGAUACCCUGGUAGUCCACGCCGUAAACGAUGAGUGCUAAGUGUUGGAGGGUUUCCGCCCUUCAGUGCUGCAGCUAACGCAUUAAGCACUCCGCCUGGGGAGUACGACCGCAAGGUUGAAACUCAAAGGAAUUGACGGGGGCCCGCACAAGCGGUGGAGCAUGUGGUUUAAUUCGAAGCAACGCGAAGAACCUUACCAGGUCUUGACAUCCUUUGACCACUCUAGAGAUAGAGCUUCCCCUUCGGGGGCAAAGUGACAGGUGGUGCAUGGUUGUCGUCAGCUCGUGUCGUGAGAUGUUGGGUUAAGUCCCGCAACGAGCGCAACCCUUAUUGUUAGUUGCCAUCAUUCAGUUGGGCACUCUAGCAAGACUGCCGGUGACAAACCGGAGGAAGGUGGGGAUGACGUCAAAUCAUCAUGCCCCUUAUGACCUGGGCUACACACGUGCUACAAUGGGAAG
Molecule: ribosomal RNA, 1053 nt
Filed under: Enterococcus faecium
Lineage: Bacteria; Bacillati; Bacillota; Bacilli; Lactobacillales; Enterococcaceae
Description: bacterial SSU rRNA
Rfam family: Bacterial small subunit ribosomal RNA
Source: RNAcentral